AGGUCCCAUCAUCGGAAGCAUGCUCAUGAGAACCAGCCUCCGCGAAGUAAUACCUAACGGUGGUCCCGCGGGGGAAAGUGGUAGAAGAGGCGUGUGGGGGGUAGUUUUUAGUACGUAGAAAUCGUGCAUGCUGCAACUAAAGAACUAGCAGUAUCUUUUGAAGAUUUUCUAUCUCCAGCUCGC
Non-coding RNA from Glossina pallidipes, 183 nucleotides. The record is from Rfam. Lineage: Eukaryota; Metazoa; Arthropoda; Insecta; Diptera; Glossinidae.